CCUGGAAGACCCUUGAGGGCAUUGUAGCAGAGACAAGUGUCCUCCACCAACACUGGACCUUUCACCUUUUCAGCAGCCAAACGGGCUUUUUCCUUGGAGAUCGCGUCUGGUUCUCCUUGCAGCUCAGGUAGAUCAAUCUUCAGAGAUCGCAAGGGAAUGGACUGGCCGAUGAUGGCUCGUACUUCCUCCAGCUUCUUAACGUUGCCGGUGACGAAAGUCACCGGCUGAGUGAUCACCACUUUCUCUGCUUCUGCUGAUGCUGCCAUAUACCUAGUCCCGACUUUUCCUUUUCCUCUUCUUUUUCCUUUUCUUUUCCUCCUACUUUUGUC
Molecule: unclassified non-coding RNA, 329 nt
Filed under: Hevea brasiliensis (rubber tree)
Lineage: Eukaryota; Viridiplantae; Streptophyta; Magnoliopsida; Malpighiales; Euphorbiaceae
Source: RNAcentral